GACGAACGCUGGCGGCGUGCUUAACACAUGCAAGUCGAACGGAAAGGCCCUGCUUUUGUGGGGUGCUCGAGUGGCGAACGGGUGAGUAACACGUGAGUAACCUGCCCUUGACUUUGGGAUAACUUCAGGAAACUGGGGCUAAUACCGGAUAGGAGCUCCUGCUGCAUGGUGGGGGUUGGAAAGUUUCGGCGGUUGGGGAUGGACUCGCGGCUUAUCAGCUUGUUGGUGGGGUAGUGGCUUACCAAGGCUUUGACGGGUAGCCGGCCUGAGAGGGUGGCCGGCCACAUUGGGACUGAGAUACGGCCCAGACUCCUACGGGAGGCAGCAGUGGGGAAUAUUGCACAAUGGGCGGAAGCCUGAUGCAGCAACGCCGCGUGCGGGAAGACGGCCUUCGGGUUGUAAACCGCUUUCGCCUGUGACGAAGCGUGAGUGACGGUAAUGGGUAAAGAAGCACCGGCUAACUACGUG
Molecule: ribosomal RNA, 468 nt
Filed under: uncultured bacterium
Lineage: Bacteria
Description: partial 16S ribosomal RNA
Rfam family: Bacterial small subunit ribosomal RNA
Source: RNAcentral